GGAUCCUGGCUCAGGAUGAACGCUAGCGGCAGGCCUAAUACAUGCAAGUCGAACGGUAAGGUCUCUUCGGAGAUACACGAGUGGCGUACGGGUGCGUAACGCGUAUGCAACCUACCUUUGUCUGGGGGAUAGCCCCGAGAAAUCGGGAUUAAUACCCCAUAACAUUACGAGCAGGCAUCUGUUUGUGAUCAAAGUUCCGGCGGACAAAGAGGGGCCAGCGGCCCAUCAGCUAGUUGGUAGGGUAACGGCCUACCAAGGCAAAGACGGGUAGGGGACGUGAGAGCGUGAACCCCCACACUGGUACUGACACACGGACCAGAUACCUACGGGUAGCAGCAGCAAGGAAUAUUGCCCAAUGGACGCAAGUCUGAGGCAGCAACGCCGCGUGGAGGAUGAAGGCCUUCGGGUCGUAAACUCCUUUUCUGGGGGAAGAGAAAGGACGGUACCCCAGGAAUAAGUCUCGGCUAACUACGUGCCAGCAGCCGCGGUAAAACGUAGGAGGCGAGCGUUAUCCGGAUUUACUGGGCGUAAAGCGCAUGCAGGCGGUUUCUUAAGUCGGACGUGAAAGCUCUCGGCUCAACUGGGAGAGGUCGUUCGAAACUAGGGAACUUGAGGAUGGUAGAGGAGAGUGGAAUUCCCGGUGUAGUGGUGAAAUGCGUAGAUAUCGGGAGGAACACCAGUGGCGAAGGCGGCUCUCUGGGCUAUUCCUGACGCUAAGACGCGAAAGCUAGGGGAGAGAACGGGAUUAGAAACCCCGGUAUUCCUAGCCGUAAACGAUGUCAACUAGGUGUAGGGGGUAUCCAACCCCCCUGUGCUGUAGCUAACGCGUUAAGUUGACCGCCUGGGGACUACGGCCGCAAGGCUAAAACUCAAAGGAAUUGACGGGGACCCGCACAAGCAGCGGAGCGUGUGGUUUAAUUCGAGUCUACGCGAAGAACCUUACCAGGGUUUGACAUGUCGGUGGUAGAAAGGUGAAAGCCGACCGACCCUUCGGGGAGCCGUCACAGGUGCUGCAUGGCUGUCGUCAGCUCGUGCCGUGAGGUGUUCGGUUAAGUCCGGUAACGAGCGCAACCCUCGUCGUCAGUUACAAGUGUCUGGCGAGACUGCCCGUGACAAGCGGGAGGAAGGUGGGGAUGACGUCAAGUCAGCAUGGCCUUUAUGUCCAGGGCUACACACACGCUACAAUGGCCGGUACAAUGGGUCGCCAACCCGCGAGGGGGAGCCAAUCCAAUAAAGCCGGUCUCAGUUCGGAUUGUAGGCUGCAACUCGCCUGCAUGAAGUCGGAGUUGCUAGUAACCGCACGUCAGCACAGUGCGGUGAAUACGUUCCCGGGCCUUGUACACACCGCCCGUCACGUCAUGGAAGUUGGCAACGCCUGAAGUCAGU
Molecule: ribosomal RNA, 1386 nt
Filed under: uncultured prokaryote
Description: partial 16S ribosomal RNA
Rfam family: Bacterial small subunit ribosomal RNA
Source: RNAcentral